GAUGAACGCUGGCGGCGUGCCUAAUACAUGCAAGUCGAGCGAACAGACGAGGAGCUUGCUCCUCUGACGUUAGCGGCGGACGGGUGAGUAACACGUGGAUACCCUACCUAUAAGACUGGGAUAACUUCGGGAAACCGGCGCUAAUACCGGAUAAUCUAUUGAACCGCAUGGUUCAAUAGUGAAAGACGGUUUUGCUGUCACUUAUAGCUGGAUCCGCGCCGCAUUAGCUAGUUGUUAAGGUAACGGCUUACCAAGGCAACGAUGCGUAGCCGACCUGAGAGGGUGAUCGGCGACACGGGAACGGAGACACGGUCCAGACUCCUACGGGAGGCAGCAGUAGGGAAUCUUCCGCAAAGGGCGAAAGCCUGACGGAGCAACGCCGCGUGAGUGAUGAAGGUCUUCGGAGCGUAAAACUCUGUUAUUAGGGAAGAACAAAUGUGUAAGUAACUAUGCACGUCUUGACGGUACCUAAUCAGAAAGCCACGGCUAACUACGUG
RNAcentral lists this ribosomal RNA (497 nucleotides) under uncultured bacterium. Its description in RNAcentral is "partial 16S ribosomal RNA". It matches the Rfam family "Bacterial small subunit ribosomal RNA", at positions 28 to 507 of the family's 1533-position model. The record is from RNAcentral.